Long non-coding RNA from Cyprinodon tularosa, 343 nucleotides. RefSeq lists it as uncharacterized. Lineage: Eukaryota; Metazoa; Chordata; Actinopteri; Cyprinodontiformes; Cyprinodontidae. The transcript is spliced from 3 exons. The record is from RefSeq and is a predicted model, not a curated record.
GAUGUCUCUUCUUGACAUGUGGGAUCACUGUGAUUAUCAUCCUUUUCUGCAAAGGAAUUAAAUCAGAACCUGCCUGUGCCAGGUCUUCAAUCAACAGCAGGAUCUUAGGAGGGCAAGAGGCCUCUCCGGGAAGUUGGCCCUGGCAUGUUGCUUUUACCAGUAAAGGCAGGAUCUUUUGUCAAGGCUCCCUGAUUACAGACCAAUGGGUGCUGACAGCUGCUAGAUGCUAUGAGUAGUAAGACACUAUUUUUGCUUGUGAUGAUGAAUAUGAUGUUGUGCAGCAACUAACAGAAGACAAAAUUUCAGAAUCCUUUUUUAUUUCUUCAUUAUUUAGCAGAAUUUA